AGCGUAAUAGCUCACUGGUCGAGUCGGCCCGCGCGGAAGAUUUAACGGGGCUUAAACUAUCCACCGAAGCUGCGGGUGUGCACUAUGUGCAUGCGGUAGCGGAGCGUUCUGUACGCUGUCGAAGGUAAACUGAGAAGUUUGCUGGAGGUAUCAGAAGUGCGAAUGCUGACAUGAGUAACGAUAAAGCGGGUGAGAUGCCCGCUCGCCAGAAGUCCAAGGUUUCCUGCUCUACGCUAAUCGGAGCAGGGUGAGUCGGCCCCUAAGGCGAGGCAGAAAUGCGUAGUCGAUGGGAAACAGGUCAAUAUUCCUGUACUCAAACUUAUUGCGAUGGGAGGACGGAGAAGGCUAGGCCAACCGGAGAUUGGUUGUUCCGGUUUAAGUGUGUAGGCUGAGUGUUUAGGAAAAUCCGGCACUUAAGGCUGAGACAUGAUGACGAGCUUCUUUAUUGAAGUGAAGUGGUUGAUGCCAUGCUUCCAGGAAAAGUCUCUAAGCUUCAGAUAAGUUUGAACCGUACUCCAAACCAACACAGGUGGACAGGUAGAGAAUACCAAGGCGCUUGAGAGAACUCGGGUGAAGGAACUAGGCAAAAUGGCACCGUAACUUCGGGAGAAGGUGCGCCGCUGAUGGUGAUGGGACUUGCUCCUUAAGCUGUCGGCGGUCGAAGAUACCAGGUGGCUGCGACUGUUUAUCAAAAACAUAGCACUCUGCAAACACGUAAGUGGAAGUAUAGGGUGUGACCCCUGCCCGGUGCCGGAAGGUUAAUUGAUGGGGUUAGUUUUCGGACGAAGCUCUUGAUCGAAGCCCCGGUGAACGGCGGCCGUAACUAUAACGGUCCUAAGGUAGCGAAAUUCCUUGUCGGGUAAGUUCCGACCUGCACGAAUGGCGUAACGAUGGCCACACUGUCUCCACCCGAGACUCAGUGAAAUUGAAAUCGCUGUUAAGAUGCAGUGUAUCCGCGGCUAGACGGAAAGACCCCGUGAACCUUUACUAUAGCUUUGCACUGGACUUUGAAUUUGCUUGUGUAGGAUAGGUGGGAGGCUUUGAAGCUGAAGCGCCAGCUUUAGUGGAGCCAUCCUUGAAAUACCACCCUUACACGAUUGAAGAUCUAACCGGCGAACGCUGGGACAAUGUCAGGCGGGUAGUUUGACUGGGGCGGUCGCCUCCUAAAGAGUAACGGAGGCGUUCAAAGCUACACUCAAUAUGGUCAGAAACCAUAUGCAGAGCACAAAGGUAAAAGUGUGGUUGACUGCAAGACUUACAAGUCGAGCAGGUGCGAAAGCA
RNAcentral lists this ribosomal RNA (1281 nucleotides) under Elysia cornigera. Its description in RNAcentral is "bacterial LSU rRNA". It matches the Rfam family "Bacterial large subunit ribosomal RNA", at positions 1131 to 2407 of the family's 2925-position model. The record is from RNAcentral. Lineage: Eukaryota; Metazoa; Mollusca; Gastropoda; Plakobranchidae.